Molecule: long non-coding RNA, 216 nt
Filed under: Ricinus communis (castor bean)
Lineage: Eukaryota; Viridiplantae; Streptophyta; Magnoliopsida; Malpighiales; Euphorbiaceae
Description: long non-coding RNA (RCOM_LNC000710)
Source: RNAcentral
GAAAAUUAAGUCUAGCUAUUACAAUUCUAAUACAACUAAAGAAAUCUAAGAAAAACAACUAAACUGAGUUACAAAGUAUAAAGACCGCUAAAAAAUGACACAAAAUCUGAAAUUAGGUCUAAACUAGGAGCACAUCUGAUUAGCUUUGGUCAUUGCUCUAGGGCUUUGUCUCAGCAGUUUUGCUCAGUUCAUCACUUUUCCUUGCCCAAAAGCCAA